RNAcentral lists this ribosomal RNA (496 nucleotides) under uncultured bacterium. RNAcentral describes it as "partial 16S ribosomal RNA". It matches the Rfam family "Bacterial small subunit ribosomal RNA", at positions 28 to 508 of the family's 1533-position model. RNAcentral also lists the same sequence under 1 other name. The record is from RNAcentral.
GACGAACGCUGGCGGCGUGCCUAAUACAUGCAAGUAGAACGCUGAAGGAGGAGCUUGCUUCUCUGGAUGAGUUGCGAACGGGUGAGUAACGCGUAGGUAACCUGCCUGGUAGCGGGGGAUAACUAUUGGAAACGAUAGCUAAUACCGCAUAAGAGUAGAUGUUGCAUGACAUUUGCUUAAAAGGUGCAAUUGCAUCACUACCAGAUGGACCUGCGUUGUAUUAGCUAGUUGGUGGGGUAACGGCUCACCAAGGCGACGAUACAUAGCCGACCUGAGAGGGUGAUCGGCCACACUGGGACUGAGACACGGCCCAGACUCCUACGGGAGGCAGCAGUAGGGAAUCUUCGGCAAUGGACGGAAGUCUGACCGAGCAACGCCGCGUGAGUGAAGAAGGUUUUCGGAUCGUAAAGCUCUGUUGUAAGAGAAGAACGAGUGUGAGAGUGGAAAGUUCACACUGUGACGGUAUCUUACCAGAAAGGGACGGCUAACUACGUGC